This is a long non-coding RNA of Zea mays, 712 nucleotides long. RefSeq lists it as uncharacterized. The record is from RefSeq and is a predicted model, not a curated record. Lineage: Eukaryota; Viridiplantae; Streptophyta; Magnoliopsida; Poales; Poaceae. The transcript has 3 exons.
AUAGCCCAGUGCGCAGGUAGGGAAUUUCAUGUGCACUGUCCGGCUAUCCCUAAGACCGUAACCCUAACAUACCUAAUCAACAAUAGGAGACGGACAGACUUUGGCUUUGGGUGUGCGGCGGGCGGCGGCACCGUGGCAGUUGGCACUGCGGUCUACAGACUGCAUCAGCCGGCAGGACUCUGCGUCUCCUCCCGUCCUCCGGUUCUCCCUGCGACGGACAAAUCUGCUGCUCGAUUUCUCUGGUUGUCCCUGUGGCGGACGGCACAUCGGCAAGCCAGGCAGCCAGCUCGUCAGCUCUAAAUCAGAUUCAGUAAUUAUUCAUUCUAUUUUGACUGAUCUAAAUCCUUCGGAAACCUGCAUGGAUUUUGAGGAACAAGAUGCUGAUAGUGAUCCCGAUGUCAUGAAUGAUUAUGGUGAGCUUUAACUGCGAGUCUACCACUAGUUAUGGUGCUUAAUCCUUGGCAAUAUGUUUGUAAACUUUAGAUACAUUGUAUAGAGCAGCAGCAGCUCUGUACCAUGAACCUUGAUAUAUCUUGUGUGCUGUGUGUGAUGAACCAUGAGCUUUUGUAUCAAACUAUUGUAUGGAGCAGCAACAGUUCUGCACCAUGAACCUUGAUAUAUCUUGUGUGCUGGGUGUGAUGAACCAUGAACUUUUGUAUCAAACUAUUGUAUGGAGCAGCAGCAGCUCUGCACUUGUGUGCCUUAGUGCCUA